Long non-coding RNA from Chrysemys picta bellii (western painted turtle), 1410 nucleotides. RefSeq lists it as uncharacterized. The record is from RefSeq and is a predicted model, not a curated record. NCBI's taxonomy places the organism in Eukaryota, Metazoa, Chordata, Testudines, Emydidae.
CUCUUUUGUUGGACCAACUUCUAUUGGUGAAAGAGAGCUUUUGAGCCACAUAGAGCUCUUCUUCAGGUCUGGGAUUUCUGACCAACCAAUCUACCACAGCAGUAGCACCUUUGGCAUCCUAGGCUGGAGACACUGCUCUCCAUAUCUCAAAUUAUGACAAUGCAUAUAAUAGGAACUACAAAGCAGUCUCAUUACCUUUCUUCACUACCUCAAACAUCAAAAUUCCCCAUCCAUGCCACCCAUUCUCAACCGUCAAGAGUAAAACCUACCCCAUGCAUCUUUAUUUAUGCAGAAAUUUAGCCCCAAGCAAGUAAUCUGACCAAUAACUUUAGCCUCACGCUGCGAGCAGAAAGUCAGCGAGCAAAGGGAACUUUCCUGCUCUGUGUAGAGUGGGGAUUUUUUGGGGGUGGCAGACAGGGAGGUUUCCACCUUACGGUGUGCUGCAAAUACAUGACCCUCAAUGCAAAGCAGCCCAAAUUUCAAACAUGGCUUAGCUAUGUAUUAUUGGUCAGAUAAGUCACAAGACGUGGUUUGCGGAAUCGAUGAGCAUGGGAGCACCCCGAGCCAAGAUGUGCAGACACAUCAGCAAACGGUCGUGCGCGCGAUGGUGUUUUUCCGCGGCCAGGAGGCUGCCACAACACAAGGGGCAGCCGCUGCGGUCCAUCGCCCUCAGCCACCCGCUUCUCCGUAUGAAACACGGAGGCCCCCAGCGGGAGGCUCCCCAGCUGCUACACCAGGCGGCAUGCCACAUUCUGGAGGACAUAACAAUCCUGGAGGUUCCUGACUGCAAAGGGGCAUAGGAGCAACCCACCCAUGUAUACCAAAGAUGUUUCCAAGCUCCUGGUAACUGAGCAACAUAUCUACAAAUGGAAUGGCUGGUGACUUACGGAUGGAGGCCCGGAAGACAUGCUCUUUCCCGAAAUGUUACUACCCAUCUGGAGUGCCUACUCUGGGAAAAAGUUUGCAGCUAUCAGCACCCAGCAUUGGGUCAAAAUUCCUGGGGGGAUUAACAGGGUGCUGUGCUAGCAUCCACAUGGUUUACUGCCUCCCUGUAAGCUGCUGAAGUCUCUCUGGGUUCAUGCAGUUACCCGGGUGCAGCUAUGGCUUAUGAUAUCACCUGCUCAGACUAUAUCUACCUAUGGACCACAAACACACACGGGACAAUACAGACUCUCAGAGAACAGCCAUCACCACCCCUCCCCCCUUUGCCAGCACAUUUCUGGACUGCAUACAACCCUCCCUGCCAUAUUUCAGACAGGAUUUCCCCUCCCCCAUACAGUUUACAGUGUAGCUUGAUCAAUUUGUACAGUGCGGCUUACUAUAAGAGAAAGCAAUAUAAAAGUUCUUACUUUUAACACCAAAGCACAUCUUUGUAAGAAUGUGAGAGUAUCCAGUAAAAAUGUCAUUGUA